ACUGCAGGACUAUUAUUUACCUAAGAUAUUUUAUAUAUUAAUGCACCUGCUUCCCAAGGCCUGAAAGCUGAGCAUCUGUAUAUUCUCAUCGGGGUCUCAGUGGUCUUCCUCUUCUGUCUCCUCCUCCUGGUCCUCUUCUGCCUCCAUCGCCAGAAUCAGAUAAAGCAGGGGCCCCCCAGAAGCAAGGACGAGGAGCAGAAGCCACAGCAGAGGCCUGACCUGGCUGUUGAUGUUCUAGAGAGGACAGCAGACAAGGCCACAGUCAAUGGACUUCCUGAGAAGGACAGAGAGACGGACACCUCGGCCCUGGCUGCAGGGAGUUCCCAGGAGGUGACGUAUGCUCAGCUGGACCACUGGGCCCUCACACAGAGGACAGCCCGGGCUGUGUCCCCACAGUCCACAAAGCCCAUGGCCGAGUCCAUCACGUAUGCAGCCGUUGCCAGACACUGACCCCAUACCCACCUGGCCUCUGCACCUGAGGGUAGAAAGUCACUCUAGGAAAAGCCUGAAGCAGCCAUUUGGAAGGCUUCCUGUUGGAUUCCUCUUCAUCUA
This 552-nucleotide unclassified non-coding RNA is filed under the name Homo sapiens (human). Its description in RNAcentral is "leukocyte associated immunoglobulin like receptor 1 (ENSG00000274110.4)". Lineage: Eukaryota; Metazoa; Chordata; Mammalia; Primates; Hominidae. The record is from RNAcentral.